GCUGAAUCCUGUCUGAUGAAUACCAUACUACCCAGAGAGCUCUUCAGAGAAUUUGUGCUGGAACAAGCAGUGCAGGAGACAGGAGACACAGAUGUACAUAUGCGGAGAAGACAGCACCCCACCAUUCCCAGGAGGCAACAUCAGGGCCAAUGGACUGACAUGACUGGUCAACCUGAGUCUGAUAAAAUCUAGGGCAGAUUCUGCUCCUGUUUCCCCUGUGUGUGGUGGCAGCUUGCAGAAGUAGUAACAUUUUAGCCUUCCUGGAGGAGACCCGAAGUAGCAUGCAGAGUGUCUGGGGGGUGUCCUUAAGCAUGGCAGGGUGGGAGGGGGUGCUGCACACUGUACAUUGUAGUGACCUUUGAUUUGAUUUGAUUUUUUUAAGGCUCAAAACUUUUCACUUGGUCUCGCUAGUGAAACCAUAUAUUUCCAAAUAUAUUUGCUGUUUCUUGAGAAUGAAAUUCCCAUCAUGAUUGCAGAGCUGCAGGCUUAAUCUGAUUUGAAAUCCAUCCAUGGCUGGCAGACUGCAACAAACCUCUUUCCUGUUCCUCAGAGUGGUCUUAGCUUCCUACGGGACCCUUGUGCCUGGUAUACAGUGGCCAGCACUGGACAGACAAGCAACCUCUACAGGCAGAAGAAGUGACAGACCCAAGAAACACUCAAACUAUUUGGCCUGAUCGGUUCCCUUUUAUAUUUUGGGGUGAAAACCCUAUCACAAAUCCCUUUGCUUUGAGUUGUCCUGUGACUAUGAAAGCUCUGCCUGUGCCAUUUCCUGCCUCCACAGGAAUACGUGGUGCCAACUGAGGGACUCUUUAGCUAGCAAACAGCAGUGUCUUUUCUCUCUCCUUUUUUUUGUACGGGCUACAUUGGGCCCUGUUAUUUACCCAGCAGACAGAGAACCACAGACUGUCUCCAUACUCUAAGACUUGUCCUUCUGAUUGUGAGAUACUGGGGCUCAGAUUUAGUUCUUUCUUACACUGGUGUAAAUCUCAGGCAACUCCACUGCAGUGAAUGGAGUCAUGCUGGGUUUAUACCCCUGUAGGCAAGAUCAGAAUCCAGUCCUGAUGCUUUACAAUCAUCACACACUCAGAUGUGCCACUGCUGGGCAGCCUUUGCUGUUGGAAUUUAUGGCGGACUUUGUCUCACAUUGAUCCCGGUGCUGUGCUCAAGUUCAGCGUUCUGAUGAGCUCCUACCGCUUGGGUAGG
This 1203-nucleotide long non-coding RNA is filed under the name Crocodylus porosus (Australian saltwater crocodile). RNAcentral describes it as "lncRNA (ENSCPRG00005000762.1)". Lineage: Eukaryota; Metazoa; Chordata; Crocodylia; Crocodylidae. The record is from RNAcentral.